UACGAAGGUGGCAAGCGUUGUCCGGAAUCACUGGGCGUAAAGGGUGCGCAGGCGGAUUUUUAAGUCAGGGGUGAAAUCCCGAGGCUUAACCUCAGAACUGCAUUUGAUACUGGGGAUCUUGAGUCCGGAAGAGGUGAGUGGAACUGCGAGUGUAGAGGUGAAAUUCGUAGAUAUUCGCAAGAACACCGGUGGCGAAGGCGGCUCACUGGUCCGGAACUGACGCUGAGGCACGAAAGCGUGGGGAGCAAACAGG
This 253-nucleotide ribosomal RNA is filed under the name uncultured bacterium. RNAcentral's name for it is "partial 16S ribosomal RNA". It matches the Rfam family "Bacterial small subunit ribosomal RNA", at positions 524 to 776 of the family's 1533-position model. The record is from RNAcentral.